UUACGGCCAUAUCACUUUGAAACGCCAGUUCUCGUACGAUCACCGAAGUUAAGUAACGUUGAGCCUGCUCAGUACCUACAUGGGGGACAGAUUUGGAAUACCAAGUGCUGUAAG
Non-coding RNA from Acanthosepion pharaonis, 114 nucleotides. The record is from the annotation of a GenBank genome assembly. Lineage: Eukaryota; Metazoa; Mollusca; Cephalopoda; Sepiida; Sepiidae.